This 79-nucleotide ribosomal RNA is filed under the name uncultured cyanobacterium. RNAcentral describes it as "partial 16S ribosomal RNA". It matches the Rfam family "Bacterial small subunit ribosomal RNA", at positions 1455 to 1533 of the family's 1533-position model. Lineage: Bacteria; Bacillati; Cyanobacteriota. The record is from RNAcentral.
GCCGAAGGUGGGGCUGAUGACUGGGGUGAAGUCGUAACAAGGUAGCCGUACCGGAAGGUGCGGCUGGAUCACCUCCUAA